RNAcentral lists this long non-coding RNA (583 nucleotides) under Homo sapiens (human). Its description in RNAcentral is "non-protein coding lnc-AP3S1-14:1". Lineage: Eukaryota; Metazoa; Chordata; Mammalia; Primates; Hominidae. The record is from RNAcentral.
CAGGCUCCAGCAAGCACACCCUGCCAUCGUGCAUAAUCAAACCCUUUGAACUGAACCACCUUUCCCACAAGGAUCUGCCAAGAGGCAAUAUGUGGAGGGACACAGAGAUUUGUCUGCUGGCCAAGACUGUCAUUGACCAGGGGAAGCUCAUACCAGGUGACGUUAUGAUGUGAUUGACUUCACACGAGCUGAAAAAUCUCACCCAGUCUCACUGGCUGUUGCAUGGUUUCACCAGGAUACUUCCACAGGCUGAAGGCCUAGAUUGAGUUUAUCAGAUACACCUGAUGAUGAACCCGAACAUGCAAUCUGAGGUCAUCAAGCUACGCCUCACUGUUUGCUGGAUUCAUCCAGCCAAUAGCCAAGUCAACAACCUCGAAUUCAACCCUCCAAAACAGUCUGCAUUAUGAUCUGACUUUAACAAGAGGUUGAAGGUUUACUAAUCCCAAAUGCAAGUGGUCCUGGAAUAAUGCCAGAAAAAAGGGGUGUUCAAUCUUCAGAAGAGAAACCAACAAGAUCUGGCCCAAUGUACAUGCUUUCCCACAAACAAAAGUUCCCCAAAUAAACCAGAAAGCAUUAGUUACUC